UGCCGAUGGCCAAUCUCCAUUGGUGAGAAUGAGAGGAGGAGGAAGCAGAAGAAGAAAAAGACCGUUGUGCUGAACACGUGACAUUCUCAACCGUGUGAAGUGCGGUCGGGUCUGCCGCAGGACAAGCAGAUGGAGGAACGUUCUUCUUCGUUUCUGAGGCUAAGCCGGAUCUUGCGAGCUGCAAAGACGGAAACCAACGACAGAGCGCAGCGGCGACGAAAACUUGCCCUUAUCGGGACAGUAGUCUGGACGGCAUCCUUGAUAGCAUUUAUCACCAUGGUCUGGAUUGUAAGCUGCCACACGUAAAAGAAAGUAUCUAUUGCUCUAGUCCUGCUGAAGACACCCAACGAGUCAUCACGCAGCGGGUCAAUGAGAGUCAUCCACGCUACAUUUCCUGUUGCUUUCGGAAGCGCUCAGCGUUGCGCUGCGCUAUAUGCAGCAUUAUGCUAUACUAGAGAAGGAAGCACAAAUAUUUCUACUUCACUAUGAACGACAUCCUGGCAAAACAUCGUUUGAGUGUUGCAUUCGCUUUUGCUUAUUACCAUUAAAUUCGUAGACACUGUUUCUAGCGCA
This is a long non-coding RNA of Ornithodoros turicata, 573 nucleotides long. RefSeq lists it as uncharacterized. Lineage: Eukaryota; Metazoa; Arthropoda; Arachnida; Ixodida; Argasidae. The transcript is spliced from 2 exons. The record is from RefSeq and is a predicted model, not a curated record.